AGUGAACGCUGGCGGCAGGCCUAACACAUGCAAGUCGAACGGCAGCACAGUAAAGCUUUGCUCUUUGGGGUGGCGUGUGGGGGAGGGGUGAGAAAUCCGUCGAACUCUACUUUUUCGUGGGGGAAAAAGUAGGGACAGUAACGAAAACACCAUAAACGCCCUACAGCAAAAAGCAGGAGAUUUUCGGAUCUUGCCAGCUGAAGUGAGCCGAUGUCGGAUUAGCUAGUAGGCGGGGUAAAGGCCCACCAAGGCGACGAUCCCUAGCUGGUCUGAGAGGAUGAUCAGCCACACUGGAACUGAGACACGGUCCAGACUCCUACGGGAGGCAGCAGUGGGGAAUAUUGGACAAUGGGCGCAAGCCUGAUCCAGCCAUGCCGCGUGUAUGAAGAAGGCCUUCGGGUUGUAAAGCACUUCUGUUGGGAAAGAAGAGCGUCAAGUUAAUACCCCGCUGUUCUGACGUUACCCGAAGAAGAAGCACCGGCUAACUUCGUG
Molecule: ribosomal RNA, 492 nt
Filed under: uncultured bacterium
Lineage: Bacteria
Description: partial 16S ribosomal RNA
Rfam family: Bacterial small subunit ribosomal RNA
Source: RNAcentral